GGGGGGGGCAAGCGUUGUUCGGAAUUACUGGGCGUAAAGGGCUCGUAGGCGGCCAACUAAGUCAGACGUGAAAUCCCUCGGCUUAACCGGGGAACUGCGUCUGAUACUGGAUGGCUUGAGAUUGGGAGUGGGAUGCGGAAUUCCAGGUGUAGCGGUGAAAUGCGUAGAUAUCUGGAGGAACACCGGUGGCGAAGGCGGCAUCCUGGACCAACACUGACGCUGAGGAGCGAAAGCCAGGGGAGCAAACGGGAUUAGAUACCCCGGUAGUCCUGGCCCUAAACGAUGAAUGCUUGGUGUGACGGGUAUCGAUCCCUGUCGUGCCGAAGCUAACGCAUUAAGCAUUCCGCCUGGGGAGUACGGUCGCAAGGCUA
RNAcentral lists this ribosomal RNA (371 nucleotides) under uncultured bacterium. RNAcentral describes it as "bacterial SSU rRNA". It matches the Rfam family "Bacterial small subunit ribosomal RNA", at positions 527 to 896 of the family's 1533-position model. The record is from RNAcentral.